GACGAACGCUGGCGGCGUGCUUAACACAUGCAAGUCGAACGGAAGGGCCCUGCUUUUGUGGGGUGCUCGAGUGGCGAACGGGUGAGUAACACGUGAGUAACCUGCCCUUGACUUUGGGAUAACUUCAGGAAACUGGGGCUAAUACCGGAUAGGAGCUCCUGCUGCAUGGUGGGGGUUGGAAAGUUUCGGCGGUUGGGGAUGGACUCGCGGCUUAUCAGCUUGUUGGUGGGGUGGUGGCUUACCAAGGCUUUGACGGGUAGCCGGCCUGAGAGGGUGACCGGCCACAUUGGGACUGAGAUACGGCCCAGACUCCUACGGGAGGCAGCAGUGGGGAAUAUUGCACAAUGGGCGGAAGCCUGAUGCAGCAACGCCGCGUGCGGGAUGACGGCCUUCGGGUUGUAAACCGCUUUCGCCUGUGACGAAGCGUGAGUGGCGGUAAUGGGUAAAGAAGCACCGGCUAACUACGUG
Molecule: ribosomal RNA, 468 nt
Filed under: uncultured bacterium
Lineage: Bacteria
Description: partial 16S ribosomal RNA
Rfam family: Bacterial small subunit ribosomal RNA
Source: RNAcentral